GCAUAAGAGCGGGCGGCCAUUUUGUGAGAGAAGCAGUCGCUGCUGUAUCUGUGUGGUGCCUGUUGCUCCGGUCCGCUGCCGUCGCUCCGGACUUGCGGUUUGGUUUUUUUUCUCUCUUCUCCCUGCAGAUCCAGUGAGACGUGACCCAGGCGCACCCAGCCGCGGCCUUCUCCCCUGCUCAGCGCCCCGCCACUGAAUCGCAUGUCCACUAUCCAGAACCUCCAAUCCUUCGACCCCUUUGCUGAUGCAACUAAGGGUGACGACUUACUCCCGGCAGGGACUGAGGAUUACAUUCAUAUAAGGAUCCAGCAACGAAACGGCAGGAAGACAUUAACUACUGUUCAGGGAAUUGCAGAUGAUUAUGACAAAAAAAAACUUGUGAAAGCCUUCAAAAAGAAAUUUGCUUGUAAUGGUACUGUGAUUGAGCAUCCUGAGUACGGUGAAGUUAUCCAGCUUCAAGGUGACCAGAGAAAGAACAUUUGCCAAUUCCUCUUAGAGCUGUUAAUACACUGACCUGAAAGGACAAAACCAGAUGCUUGCAGUACAUAAGAACAUAAGAACGGCCAUACUGGGUCUGACCAAAGGUCCAUCUAGCCCAGUAUCCUGUCUUCCGACAGUGGCCAAUGCCAGGUACCCCAGAAGGAAUGAACAUGACAGGUUGGCAUUGUCAAGGAGGAGCAGCUGAAAGUUCAUGGUUUUUAAAAUGUGUAUAAUCACAUGAAGAAUUCUGCAGUUUUUGUUCAUACUCACGCUGGCUAAACUGUGAAAUAUGAGUCUUUCCAGUAAAUGGACUUCCCACUUACCUAAGCAUUUAAAGCUUAAUUCACAUUUGCAUGAUUACAGAAAACAUGUGGUGUCUAGACUAGAAACACACAAAAAAAUUGCAGUAAGAUGGUAAUGAAGACCUUUGUGAAUUUUAACACAUUUCCAAUGGAAAUGUUUUAGUGCUGAUUGUUGAGUUUAUUACUUUUCACCUGACUUAAAUGUUUUUGUUGUAUUAAAACCAUGUAUGUUGCAGCUUAAAAAUUAAGUCUCUGUAUAUUUCUUUGAGUAUUUGGAACACUUAGUCAAGCAACAGUCCUGAUUUACUGUGAUAAAACAGCUCUGUGGCAAGUUUAGUUUAUUGAAUACCAACUAAACUGAGGUCUGCAUAAUGAAGUGCUAGCUAAUUAAAAUCAAAAGUAAGAUAAAUUAGGACUUUACAAUCUCUUCUGAGUUGAUGCAUUUGAAUACCAAUUUUAUUAAUACAAUUAUUGAUAGUUUGUACAAUUAAGAACUGCAUCUUCAUUCUCUUAAAAUCUAAGAUAAUCAGUAAAUUCUGAAAUGCUAGUCUUACAGUCAAGAGGACUUUUGUAAGCAGUCCUGAUUUCUUAGAGAACCUUGGCUGUUGUACUUCAUAUCUAGGUUUUCUAUUACACACUGCCAUUAUCUUCAGCACCAAAAAAGUUUAAAAGAAAUGCUCUUCUCUUCCCUUCUCCCAAAGGAAGGGAAAAAGUUUUGAGAUGGCUUCUACCACAUCUAUGCCUUUGGAGUUUAGUUCCUUAUCUAGGAUAGUGGUUAUUUCAGAAAGUGGGCUUAGGUAACUUUUCUAUCAAAAAGGUCAUUUUAUUUUGUUUGAAACAAUGUUUUUAUUAAGCUGGCCUUCUAGUUUCCGUUUAAGGGUCUUCCAUCUCUAGGCUGUAUCUCUUCAUAGAAAAAAAUUAAAUGUUUCCUGUUACUGAA
This is an RNA transcript of Gopherus flavomarginatus (Mexican gopher tortoise), 1722 nucleotides long. It is a transcript of the gene named eukaryotic translation initiation factor 1B, with no coding region annotated. The record is from RefSeq and is a predicted model, not a curated record. NCBI's taxonomy places the organism in Eukaryota, Metazoa, Chordata, Testudines, Testudinidae. The transcript has 5 exons.